AGGUUGACUCUUCAGACAACGGCAAAAAGCAGCCACAUUCUUCACCAAAAUAUUACAAGAACAGUCUCUAGGCCACAUACUAAAAUUCUGCCCCUCUGAAACAUCCUGACCAGCAGGUCUACAGUAGUUAAAAUCACCCUCCACACAGCCAUAUUCCGCAUUCUGACUAGGGUGGUCCCUUAAGCUCCACCUAAACCAUUCCAUUGUUUCCCAAAUUCAAAGUCUCAAAACCCACCUUCCUCUAAACAAAACCACAGUGAGGCCUAUCCCAGCAAUACCCCAGUUCCUGGUACCAACUUCUGUCUUAGGUUUCCAUUGCUGUGAAGAGACACCAUGACCAAAGCAACUCUUAUAAUGGGUAAUAUUUAAUUGGGGCAAACAUACAGAUUUAGAGGUUCAUCCCAUUAUCAUAAAGGCAAUAUCCAGGCAGAGAUGGUGCUGGAGAAGGAACUGAAAGUUCUACAUCUUGUUCCGAAGACAAACAGACGAAGACUGACUUACAGACAGAGAGGAUUAGGAUCUCAAAGCCCACCUCCACAGUGAUACACUUGCUCCAACAAGGCCAUGCCUCCUAGUAAUGCCACUUCCUGGGCCAAACAUAUACAAACCACCACAGUGAGUUUUGGCAAAAUCAUGCCUGGCUUUGUCAUUAGGAUUUAGGAGAUGGGGUAGAUAUUGCUUAAGUAUCCCCUGGGAAGGAAAUUUAGCAACAUUAACCUAGCCUACUCAUUAUGUUCAGGGCAAUGGGAGCUGGAGGUGUUAGAGCUGGAGAAAUCGCUUACCUGUGACUAGCAGUUGCUGCUCAUGCCUAGGGCCCAGGUUUCAUUCCCAGUAUCCACAUGGUGUCUCACAGCCAUCAAUAACUCACUGCAGUUCUAGGGGGUCUGACACCCUCUUGGCUUCCUUGGGCACCAGACACACAGAGUGCACAUGCAGUUAAAAUACUCACAAAACAAAAAACAAGGUAAAUGAUAUCUGAGGAAUGAUUCCCAAGGUUGACCUCUGACCUCCACACACAGGUGCAUACAUAUUAUGUAUGCAUACUACCACACAGGUGCACCUACACACACACACACACACACACACACACACACACACACACACACACACACACGUGCACACACAUAUGCACAAGAGAAGGACUAAUUGCUAAGGAAGGAGUGGGUACCAGAGAUAGUGGACACAAGACCAGUUCUUCUCCAGGUAAGCAUCAGUUCCAGGACUAUAACCAGUCAAUUGAGAGCAAACCGAAGAAACC
Molecule: long non-coding RNA, 1258 nt
Filed under: Mus musculus (house mouse)
Lineage: Eukaryota; Metazoa; Chordata; Mammalia; Rodentia; Muridae
Description: long non-coding RNA chr11:121000827-121002085
Source: RNAcentral